Molecule: ribosomal RNA, 1487 nt
Filed under: metagenome
Description: bacterial SSU rRNA
Rfam family: Bacterial small subunit ribosomal RNA
Source: RNAcentral
AGAGUUUGAUCAUGGCUCAGGAUGAACGCUAGCUACAGGCUUAACACAUGCAAGUCGAGGGGAAACGAUAUUGGAAGCUUGCUUCCGAUAGGCGUCGACCGGCGCACGGGUGAGUAACGCGUAUCCAACCUGCCCACCACUUGGGGAUAACCUUGCGAAAGUAAGACUAAUACCCAAUGAUAUCUCUAGAAGACAUCUGAAAGAGAUUAAAGAUUUAUCGGUGAUGGAUGGGGAUGCGUCUGAUUAGCUUGUUGGCGGGGUAACGGCCCACCAAGGCAACGAUCAGUAGGGGUUCUGAGAGGAAGGUCCCCCACAUUGGAACUGAGACACGGUCCAAACUCCUACGGGAGGCAGCAGUGAGGAAUAUUGGUCAAUGGACGAGAGUCUGAACCAGCCAAGUAGCGUGCAGGAAGACGGCCCUAUGGGUUGUAAACUGCUUUUAUAAGGGAAUAAAGUGAGAGUCGUGACUCUUUUUGCAUGUACCUUAUGAAUAAGGACCGGCUAAUUCCGCGCCAGCAGCCGCGGUAAUACGGGGGAUGCGAGCGUUAUCCGGAUUCAUUGGGUUUAAAGGGUGCGUAGGCUGUGCGUCAAGUCGGGGGUGAAAUUCCGGUGCUCAACACCGGGGCUGCCCUUGAUACUGUCGCGCUGGAGUGCGGAUGCCGCCGGAGGAAUGAGUGGUGUAGCGGUGAAAUGCUUAGAUAUCACUCAGAACACCGAUUGAGAAGGCAUCUGGCGAAUCCGUAACUGACGCUGAGGCACGAAAGCGUGGGGAUAGAACAGGAUUAGAUACCCUGGUAUUCCACGCCGUAAACGAUGAUGGCUAACCGCCGGCGACACACUGUCGGUGGCCAAGCGAAAGCGAUAAGCCAUCCACCUGGGGAGUACGUCGGCAACGAUGAAACUCAAAGGAAUUGACGGGGGCCCGCACAAGCGGAGGAACAUGUGGUUUAAUUCGAUGAUACGCGAGGAACCUUACCCGGGCUCGAACGGCACCUGGAUCGCCCAGAGAUGGGCGAGUCUUCGGACAGGUGUCGAGGUGCUGCAUGGUUGUCGUCAGCUCGUGCCGUGAGGUGUCGGCUCAAGUGCCAUAACGAGCGCAACCCCUGCCGCCAGUUGCCAUCAGGUGAUGCUGGGCACUCUGGCGGGACUGCCACCGCAAGGUGUGAGGAGGGGGGGGAUGACGUCAAUCAGCACGGCCCUUACGUCCGGGGCGACACACGUGUUACAAUGGCGGCCACAGAGGGAAGCUACCCCGCGAGGGGAUGCGGAUCUCGAAAAGCCGUCCCAGUUCGGACUGGAGUCUGCAACCCGACUCCACGAAGUUGGAUUCGCUAGUAAUCGCGCAUCAGCCAUGGCGCGGUGAAUACGUUCCCGGGCCUUGUGCACACCGCCCGUCAAGCCAUGGAAGCCGCGGGCGCCUGAAGUCCGUGACCGUAAGGAGCGGCCUAGGGCGAAAGUGGUAACUGGGGCUAAGUCGUAACAAGGUA